Cyprinus carpio carpio is the source of this 991-nucleotide long non-coding RNA. NCBI's taxonomy places the organism in Eukaryota, Metazoa, Chordata, Actinopteri, Cypriniformes, Cyprinidae. The record is from Ensembl.
UUUUAUAAGUCAUGUGUCCAAAGAAAAAUGAAUAUUUAGACUAUGUUAAAUGUACGUAAACGUGACUACCAAGCUCUUUUCAAACGGUGCGGAUUACAGGAGUUUCUGGUCUCAUGAAGGCGCUUCGGAGAGGAGUUUGUCGCUCCAAAUGAGAAUAGAAUCCUUUCACAAGGCUGUUAUCAAAGCAGACUGCGUCUCGGUCAUUUCUCUAGGUAACUUUAGUGAAUCCCUAGGCAACGAGUCCCUGCACUGGUAAAGAGACCAUGGCUUAGUAAACAUUGGGACAAUUGAUCAAUCAAUUUGUAAAACGUCACCACUAAUAUUUAUCAACAACAGGCAGGCAUAUUUUGAUAUUAUUUUAAUGCUGUUUAAUGUAGACUUAUAAUAUUAAAGGUGCAUGUUAUAUUACAAAUCCUUGCAACUAAUGAACAGUCAACAUCAGUGCUCCAUUUGUUGUGCGAUGGAUUGAGAUUUUUUGUGUGCCCAAAAAAAAAAAAAAAAAAAAAUUGGUUGCACCUUCUGUUUCAUCACAAAUUUAAUUAACUGGCAUUACAUUUUAAAUGAUUUAAAAGGCAUCAUUUCAUUUUUUGAGAAAAUGUUUACUUUAUUUUUCCAUCAGGGUGUGGCCAAAGGUUUCAUUGGUGUUUUCUCAUCAUUGCAAUUUUUAGAUGCUGGCCAGUCACUUCUUCAAAGGCUCCAAACACUGCCAUGUGACCAGGCUGCUCCACUGCAACUACAUAGUGUGUGUGUACUUUCAACACUAAGACUUAAGGUCACCGUAGCCACCAGAUCCAGUCUGUAUCCAGAUCAGAUGGUGGAUCAGCACCUAGACACACCCUUGACAGCCCUGAAUGUCAGCGGAGACCAAGACAACUAGAUGAGCCCCAGAGACAGAUCCCCUCCAAAGAACUCAUCACUUAGACAGCCAUCGGGACAAGACCACAGAAACAAAACCAGUCCUCUGCACAAUCUGACCUGUGUUGCAGCCUGC